UACAGAGGUCCCAAGCGUUGUUCGGAUUCAUUGGGCGUAAAGGGUGCGUAGGUGGUGAGGUAAGUCGGAUGUGAAAUCUCCGAGCUCAACUCGGAAAUGGCAUUGGAAACUACCUUGCUCGAGGGUUGGAGGGGGGACUGGAAUGCUUGGUGUAGCAGUGAAAUGCGUAGAUAUCAAGCGGAACACCGAUGGCGAAGGCAGGUCUCUGGGCAUUAACUGACGCUGAGGAGCGAAAGCAUGGGGAGCGAACAGG
RNAcentral lists this ribosomal RNA (253 nucleotides) under uncultured bacterium. RNAcentral's name for it is "partial 16S ribosomal RNA". It matches the Rfam family "Bacterial small subunit ribosomal RNA", at positions 524 to 776 of the family's 1533-position model. The record is from RNAcentral.